GAUUCUCGGAUUCAUCUCUGUUACUUGUUAUCGAUUGCGUUGGAAGUUUUAUUGAAGGUUUUUCUCGGAUUUUUGUGAGAGAUUUUGUUUACCGAAAGAACGAUGUGUACUGAACGGAUAAUCGGAGCUUUUACUGUUGUUUGAUGCUUCGAUCUUCACUCAGUGGAUGUUUUGGGUGAUUUUCCGACAUCCCUGACCUUUUUCCGGUGAUUCUUCAGAUUCUAGGGUUUUCGGUGGUUGAACCUAGGGUUUUGCUGCUAUCCUAUGGCUCGAUCCUCACUCGGUGGAUGUUUUGGGUGAUUUUCCGACAUCUCUGACCCUAUUCCGGUAUGUUUCCAGUACGGUUUCCGGUGGUUG
This 357-nucleotide long non-coding RNA is filed under the name Nicotiana benthamiana. RNAcentral describes it as "long non-coding RNA (NBEN_LNC021942)". The record is from RNAcentral. Lineage: Eukaryota; Viridiplantae; Streptophyta; Magnoliopsida; Solanales; Solanaceae.